This is a long non-coding RNA of Notothenia coriiceps (black rockcod), 218 nucleotides long. RefSeq lists it as uncharacterized. The record is from RefSeq and is a predicted model, not a curated record. The transcript has 3 exons. NCBI's taxonomy places the organism in Eukaryota, Metazoa, Chordata, Actinopteri, Perciformes, Nototheniidae.
UGGGUAAUGUGGACUCUGGUUAUAGUAGUCAAUGAGUGCUAAUUUAGUGUUGCUCUUUUUGUUUUUCCUCAUCAUAGGUGCUUUGUUGACGCUCAGCUUCCAGGCUCAAGGUCUCAAUUCUUAGCCAGGACACAGGAUGACAAGCUCCACAUGUCCAUUGAUGCCUUCAGAUUUUAUAAUGAGGACAGAGGGGAGCUGCUACAACACAUGUCACUUAG